GACCAGACUCCUACGGGAGGCAGCAGUGAGGAAUAUUGGUCAAUGGGCGGAAGCCUGAACCAGCCAAGUCGCGUGAGGGAAUAAGGCCCUACGGGUCGUAAACCUCUUUUGCCGGGGAGCAGUGGUCCGGACGCGUCCGGACCGGGAGAGUACCCGGAGAAAAAGCAUCGGCUAACUCCGUGCCAGCAGCCGCGGUAAUACGGAGGAUGCGAGCGUUAUCCGGAUUUAUUGGGUUUAAAGGGUGCGUAGGCGGGCAUUUAAGCCGGCGGUCAAAUGUCGGGGCUCAACCCUGUACUGCCGUUGAAACUGCAUCCCUUGAGUGCGCGAGAAGUAUGCGGAAUGCGUGGUGUAGCGGUGAAAUGCAUAGAUAUCACGCAGAACUCCGAUUGCGAAGGCAGCAUACCGGCGCGCAACUGACGCUCAUGCACGAAAGCGUGGGUAUCGAACAGGAUUAGAUACCCGGGUA
RNAcentral lists this ribosomal RNA (466 nucleotides) under uncultured bacterium. RNAcentral's name for it is "bacterial SSU rRNA". It matches the Rfam family "Bacterial small subunit ribosomal RNA", at positions 329 to 792 of the family's 1533-position model. The record is from RNAcentral.